CGCGGUUAUACAAUAAAUAUAAAUAAUUAUUUAUAGGUUUUAUUUAAUUUGUUUUAAGGUUUUAUUUUUAUAUAUUUAAGUGAAAUUUUUAUAUAAAUUAUAUUGAUUAUAUUUAUGAUUUAAAUAUUAAAACUUUCUUUUAAACCAGGAUUAGAUACCCUGUUAUAAUAAGUUGUAAAGAUUUUAUGCUUUAAAAUUAAUAGUUAUGUUCUUAAAAUUAAAAAAAUUUGGCGGUAAUUUAUCUUUUUAGAGGAAUCUGUCCCAUUAUUGAUAUUCCACGUUUAAUUUUACUUUAAUUUAACUUAUAUAUCGCUGUUAUGAAUGUUUUAUUAGAAUAUUUUCUAUAAAUUUUAUAAAUUUUAUAUCAGGUCAAGGUGUAGUUGUAUUAAAGUCGGAGAUGGAUUACAUUAAAAAAAUUUAUGGAGUUAUAAUUGUAAUAUUAUAAGGAAAUUGGAUUUAAUUGUAAAAUUUUAUUAUUUUAUAUUUUUGAUAAUAGGUUCUAAAUUAUGUACAUAUCGCCCGUCGCUCUCAUUUAUUAAGGUGAGAUAAGUCGUAACAAAGUAGGCCUAUCGGAAGAUGGGCCUAGAAAGAUUA
This 594-nucleotide ribosomal RNA is filed under the name Ectrychotes andreae. RNAcentral describes it as "partial 12S ribosomal RNA". The record is from RNAcentral. Lineage: Eukaryota; Metazoa; Arthropoda; Insecta; Hemiptera; Reduviidae.